Pelobates cultripes (western spadefoot toad) is the source of this 236-nucleotide non-coding RNA. The record is from the annotation of a GenBank genome assembly. Lineage: Eukaryota; Metazoa; Chordata; Amphibia; Anura; Pelobatidae.
AGAAAUACUAACUCAAAGAGGAUUACUUUGGAAAAAAUCUGCUCUCUGAAACAUCUCCUACAUAGCCUGCUUUGGAUAUGUACAGCAUGACAUUAACGGAACACUUCAAGCACCAUGAUCUCUACAGCGUACUGGUUGGUGCAGGUAGUGUCCAGGCACUACGAUCAAUAUAAAUGCUGAAACCUCAGUCUGCCAGGUGCCUCUUCAUGCCUCCUCUACAACCUACAAAGAACCGG